RNAcentral lists this ribosomal RNA (238 nucleotides) under uncultured bacterium. RNAcentral's name for it is "partial 16S ribosomal RNA". It matches the Rfam family "Bacterial small subunit ribosomal RNA", at positions 102 to 334 of the family's 1533-position model. The record is from RNAcentral.
CCGACGGGUGAGUAACACGUAUGCAAUCCACCUGUAACAGGGGAGUAACCGGAGAAAUCCGGACUAAUACCCCAUAAUAUGGGCGCUCCGCAUGGAGAGCCCAUUAGAGAGAGCAAUUUUGGUUACAGACGAGCAUGCGCUCCAUUAGCCAGUUGGCGGGGUAACGGCCCACCAAGGCGACGAUGGAUAGGGGUUCUGAGAGGAAGGUCCCCCACAUUGGAACUGAGACACGGUCCAA